Molecule: ribosomal RNA, 457 nt
Filed under: uncultured bacterium
Lineage: Bacteria
Description: bacterial SSU rRNA
Rfam family: Bacterial small subunit ribosomal RNA
Source: RNAcentral
AACGACGCUGGCGGCAGGCCUAACACAUGCAAGUCAAACGGCCCUUCGGGGCAGUGGCGCACGGGUGCGUAACGCGUGGGAAUGUACACCUUGGUAAGGAAUAACUGCUGGAAACGGUAGCUAAUACCUUAUAAUGACUCCGGUCCAAAGAUUUAUCGCCAAGGGAUCAGCCCGCGUCAGAUUAGAUAGUUGGUGGGGUAAUGGCCUACCAAGUCUACGAUCUGUAGGGGGUCUGAGAGGAUGAUCCCCCACACUGGUACUGAGACACGGACCAGACUCCUACGGGAGGCAGCAGUGAGGAAUAUUAGACAAUGGGCGAAAGCCUGAUCUAGCCAUGCCGCGUGAGUGAAGAAGGCCUUAGGGUUGUAAAGCUCUUUCAAUAGUGAAGAUAAUGACGGUAGCUAUAGAAGAAGCUCCGGCUAAAUUCGUGCCAGCAGCCGCGGUAAAGUCGUACGCU